RNAcentral lists this ribosomal RNA (119 nucleotides) under Prunus persica (peach). The record is from RNAcentral. Lineage: Eukaryota; Viridiplantae; Streptophyta; Magnoliopsida; Rosales; Rosaceae.
GGAUGCGAUGAUACCAACUUACAUGCACUGGAUUCUAUUCGAACUUUAAAAUUAAGCGAGUUCGGGCGAGAGUAGUAUCAGGAUGAGUGACCUCCUAGAAAGUUCUUGUGUUGUAUUCC